RNAcentral lists this ribosomal RNA (732 nucleotides) under uncultured bacterium. Its description in RNAcentral is "bacterial SSU rRNA". It matches the Rfam family "Bacterial small subunit ribosomal RNA", at positions 771 to 1501 of the family's 1533-position model. The record is from RNAcentral.
AACAGGAUUAGAUACCCUGGUAGUCCACGCCGUAAACGAUGAUAACUAGCUGUCCGGGGACUUGGUCUUUGGGUGGCGCAGCUAACGCAUUAAGUUAUCCGCCUGGGGAGUACGGCCGCAAGGUUAAAACUCAAAUGAAUUGACGGGGGCCUGCACAGGCGGUGGAGCAUGUGGUUUAAUUCGAAGCAACGCGCAGAACCUUACCAGCGUUUGACAUGUCCGGACGAUUUCCAGAGAUGGAUCUCUUCCCUUCGGGGACUGGAACACAGGUGCUGCAUGGCUGUCGUCAGCUCGUGUCGUGAGAUGUUGGGUUAAGUCCCGCAACGAGCGCAACCCUCGCCUUUAGUUACCAUCAUUCAGUUGGGGACUCUAAAGGAACCGCCGGUGAUAAGCCGGAGGAAGGUGGGGAUGACGUCAAGUCCUCAUGGCCCUUACGCGCUGGGCUACACACGUGCUACAAUGGCGGUGACAGUGGGCAGCAAACUCGCGAGAGUGCGCUAAUCUCCAAAAGCCGUCUCAGUUCGGAUUGUUCUCUGCAACUCGAGAGCAUGAAGGCGGAAUCGCUAGUAAUCGCGGAUCAGCAUGCCGCGGUGAAUACGUUCCCAGGCCUUGUACACACCGCCCGUCACACCAUGGGAGUUGGGUUCACCCGAAGGCGUUGCGCUAACUCGCAAGAGAGGCAGGCGACCACGGUGGGCUUAGCGACUGGGGUGAAGUCGUAACAAGGUAACC